AUCGACGGGGGAGUUUGGCACCUCGAUGUCGGCUCAUCACAUCCUGGGGCUGUAGCCGGUCCCAAGGGUAUGGCUGUUCGCCAUUUAAAGUGGUACGCGAGCUGGGUUUAGAACGUCGUGAGACAGUUCGGUCCCUAUCUGCCGUGGGCGCUGGAGAUUUGAGAGGAGCUGUCCUUAGUACGAGAGGACCGGGAUGGACGUACCUCUGGUGUACCGGUUGUCAUGCCAAUGGCACCGCCGGGUAGCUAUGUACGGACGGGAUAACCGCUGAAAGCAUCUAAGCGGGAAGCCCCCCUCAAGAUGAGAUCUCCCUGAGAGCUUGACUCUCCUAAAGGUCCGUCGAAGACGACGACGUUGAUAGGCUGGGUGUGGAAGCGCAGUAAUGUGCGUAGCUAACCAGUACUAAUUGACCGUGAGACUUGACCAUAUAACACCCAAGCAGU
This 443-nucleotide ribosomal RNA is filed under the name Gammaproteobacteria bacterium. RNAcentral's name for it is "partial 23S ribosomal RNA". It matches the Rfam family "Bacterial large subunit ribosomal RNA", at positions 2504 to 2925 of the family's 2925-position model. The record is from RNAcentral. Lineage: Bacteria; Pseudomonadati; Pseudomonadota; Gammaproteobacteria.